GUAGGUGACAGGAUCAGAAUGAGGAUUUGAAAGGUUUAUCAGAUGGGACUUCCUUGGCUGUCCAGUGGUUAAGACUCCACAUAUCCACUGCAGGAGGCAUAGGUUCCAUUCCUGGCUGGAGAUGAACUAAGAUCCCUGCAAGACUCGCUGUCAAAAAUAAAAAAUUAUCAGAGCUACCACCUGGGGGAGGGAUUGAGAGGGGAGAGGAGUGAAUAUAGGGAGUGCAGACACGAACAAUUCUGGUGAGAUGCAAUGGCCACUUGGUGCAGUGAGUGGGGGGAAACCCAGAGGUAGAGAGGAGGCGUGAAAAAUGGGGUACGCAAGAGAAAAGUGUCAAGGAUGACUCCUAAGUGUUCUGAGUCAAAUAACCAUAUGGGUGUUGGUACCAUUCACUGAGGGAAGGAACUCUGGAAGACAGCCAGGUUUAGGCGGACAGAUUAUGAGUUCCACCUGGGGGUCGGUGGUGGAUAACACUUUCUUUCAGGGACUGGAGCUCAGGGAAUGGGUCUGAUCCCAUAGGCUGGGAGGAAGGGGCCAGCAGGGCCAGACCAAGCAGGACCAGAGGAGGCAACAAAUGCCCUUCCCUCGUCCUCCCUCCCUCCCAGCCACUGCUCCAGAGCUUCGGCCCUCUUAUAAGCGCCCAACUCUUCGUCCGCUUUCUUCACCAGCUCCACGCACAGCUGUGCGGAUGAGGCUCUCAGAGGAGCAGUCCCUCCACCCCGCAGCCUGGGCCCGGCUACUGCAUGAACGGGCAUCUGGCUCCCCCUCGUGGUGACAUCAGCACAUUGGCGCGCUAGGUCAGCUCGGAGCUGCCGGGGCCAGAGGCAGGGCUAUGGCCGGCGUCCUGGUCGAGAGGUCAGGAAGUGUGUGUCCAGUCCUGGCCAGUGACUCACUCUACAACUGUGCGCUGUUCCCCUGACCUGUAUGUGCUCCGAUUUCCUUGCCUGCAAAUUAGGGUUAGUGAUCUGGGUGAGGCUUUCCUUGGCUAACACAUAGAGUUUUUAAAAGAGUUUUGUUAGUUUGAAGAACCCCUCUCCCUAACUUGAGGUGCCUUGACAUCCAGUGGCCGCUCAACAACACUCCUGUGUGCUACCAACCCCUUCCGUAAACCACUCCAUUUCGGGACAGCCACAUUAGACAUACUGCCAUUGGACUUCCCUGGUGCCUCAGACAAUAAAGCGUCUGCCUACAACGUGUGAGACCUGGGUUCAAUCCCUGGGUGGGGAUCUCCUGGAGAAGGAAAUGGCAACCCCACUCCAGUACUCUUGCCUGGAAAAUCCCAUGGAUGGAGGAACCUGGUAGGCUGCAGUCCAUGGGGUCACAAAGAGUCAGACAUGACAGAGCAACUUCACUUUCACGUAGCCAGAAUAUGGUGAUGCAUGGGGCCAGGUUGGUACUGUCAGGGCACUCCGUUGGAAGGAUCAGGCA
Bos taurus (domestic cattle) is the source of this 1428-nucleotide long non-coding RNA. Lineage: Eukaryota; Metazoa; Chordata; Mammalia; Artiodactyla; Bovidae. The record is from Ensembl.